RNAcentral lists this ribosomal RNA (208 nucleotides) under uncultured bacterium. RNAcentral's name for it is "partial 16S ribosomal RNA". It matches the Rfam family "Bacterial small subunit ribosomal RNA", at positions 568 to 774 of the family's 1533-position model. The record is from RNAcentral.
AGCGUAGGCGGCGGAGCAAGUCAGAAGUGAAAGCCCGGGGCUCAACCCCGGGACGGCUUUUGAAACUGCCCUGCUUGAUUUCAGGAGAGGUAAGCGGAAUUCCUAGUGUAGCGGUGAAAUGCGUAGAUAUUAGGAGGAACACCAGUUGCGAAGGCGGCUCUCUGGACUGUAACUGACACUGAGGCACGAAAGCGUGGGGAAGCAAACA